GUGGAGUGCGAUUGAGAUUGCGUCAUCUCUGGAUCUGUUGGGGCGGUAUGCAAAUUGGAGUGGGUCUAGGGUUUCCGGCAGUAGGGUAGGGACUACCCCUUGACUUUGCUACAUUAGUGUCAGAUGUGGAACACCUUCAGCGGGUUUGAUAACAACCGGAUGCAUCCAUUUUUCAGGGGAAAUUAAAAGAGAGCCUGUGACACGACUUCCACUUUCGGACGUUAACAAGGCGACACUCCAUCUUAACUCCUCCUCCACAUUUACUGGAUUGGAUGAAUAGUGCAGAAGAGAACUUCCCCCGAAGGUUUCUUUCCUUCGUCAGGACCAGAAAGAAUUUACGCCUGCUAUGUUAGAUGUUGGAUGGCCCCCGACUGCGACCAUUUAGAGCUUGUCCCUAGGGUGCAGGCAUGAGGACCCGUUCUCUUAGGGAAGGCACAGGCAGUUGGUGGCAACUUAAUUUGGGAGGAAGGGCUCAUAGUAAUUACUGGAACGGAAUCAAUAGAAUGGUAUAAAAUACAUGUUUUCCACUUUCCAUUCGAUACCACUCCAUUCAAGCUAUUAUUAUGAGCCGUCCUCCCCUCACCCUGUGACCUGACCUCGUUAUCAUUUUAAAAAGAUUGGUUGGAUAGGUAACCAUGUGGCUGGCCCCUGUCCCCAACUUCUAUGUCAGUCAAAAUAUAUUAGUUACAAACAACAGAAUCUGCCAAGAUCGAGGCUGCAGGUAGCCUCGUGGUUAAGAGCAUUGGGCCAAUAACCGAAAGGUCGCUGAUUAGAAUCCCAGAGCAAGCAAGGUGGAAAAAUUUGGCUUUCUGCCCUUGAACCACCAAUGACAACUGCUCCCCAGGUGCUGAUGGACGCCGAUUAAGGCAGCCCCCCGCACCUCUCUGAUUCUGAGGGGUUGGGUUAAAUGCAGAAGACAUAUUUCAGUUGAAUGCAUUCAGUUGUGCAACUGACUAGGUAUUCACUUUCUUGCAGCAUAAAGUCAUUGAUGCCCACGCUGAAUUGGCAGAUUUGACUUCUGUUGUUGAUGUCUUCAAGCAGGAAGUCCCCCCAUUGUGUUUGAUGAGAGGCCUGUCAGUCAGUUUAUUUCACAAAAACUCAAGCCUGUUCUUUUUCAGCUCCAUUUUGACCGCACCAUGCCGGGGGCCGGGACCUGUCCUUUCUGCAGGGUGACCUUUAUAAAACGUCCUGGGCAUUACAACCGAUUUCGUGUUAUCAAAGUCACCAGCCCGAGGACGUGCCAGUUCGUUUUCAACUUCACUCCGGGACCGAUCCACAUUUAUAUGCUUUGACUGUAUAAGUAAGCUUAAUGAGAAAACCAUUAAAAAAGGUAAGAAGAGGACUGUUUCCCCACCUGUCUUGAAGACAGAUGAGCGUAAACUUAAAAAAAUACAAAGAUGAAGGCCGGGAUUCGUGCCGUGGGCGAAAGCCAUCAACUAUCUCAAAGUGCAUAUGGCCUAGCCCGCAAUACGCCACCUGAUGAAAACCAACGCCAAAAAAACUUGUCUGCGUUCAUCAAGCAGAUCAGAAUGGAGAGAAUGGCAUUGGAGAAGGACAGGGAGGAACCAUUGAGGAAAGCAAAGACAGCUGAGAAUGGGAGAUCCUUCUCCUGGGAGAAAGUGCUUGCAUGGGGAGAGAAGACAGCACCCAGCAUUCUAAGAUGUCUGAGGGCACUGUUCACCAAACCUGAGAGGGUCCGGAGGACCUGAGCCCUAGGACCAUGCCUCAGGACUACCUGGCAUGAUGAC
Salvelinus namaycush (lake trout) is the source of this 1748-nucleotide long non-coding RNA. RefSeq lists it as uncharacterized. NCBI's taxonomy places the organism in Eukaryota, Metazoa, Chordata, Actinopteri, Salmoniformes, Salmonidae. The transcript is spliced from 3 exons. The record is from RefSeq and is a predicted model, not a curated record.